UGUGACAACCUGUAAUUAACGGCCUUCUAAUUUCGCGAUUAACAAACGUUUAGGUGAUAACAAAUAAUGUUAAGACACGAAUUAGCUUAAUUAGGCUAUUGGAAUGCCUAGGAACGCUAAUCAGAUGUUACAAUGCGCAUAUGAGGAUUUUCGGGAAAACUGCGUAACGUUAAACGAUAACGAACUGAUGUCGUACAAAAGACUGGCCAUGCAGACAAAUACAAAUUUUAUACGUAUAAUUUAAACUUAUGAAUGUGGUUUUGUGAAAACAUCACGCUUUCGAAUGUUACAAAACGCAAACGUGAACGAAAAACGCGACCGAAGGAACGCACCGGCAACGAAACAAAAGCACCGGACUCGAGUUACGACCCAAUAUUAAUAUAUUAUGAUAUAUUUAACUUCGUUUUCAAAAUUUAUUAUCCGUAUUUGAAAACGGAUCGCAAAACGGACACGAAACGACGAACGACACAGUUUAUGCGUUUUUAACGCAACCGACAAAAAUACGCGUCAAACAUCGCCUCCCGAUGCUCUUUUACAUAUUUUUGAUCUUAAAAAGGGUAGUAUUAGGUAUUUUCAUUGCGCAAGUUGUAAAUUAUAUUUACAAUAUGCGGUUAGCGCGGCACGAAUAAUAGGUAAAUAUAUUUUAUACAUCGGACACGUUCAUAAAUAAUUUUAUGAGAUUAUAUGCACAAGUUUAUUUUCUUUUAUGCAUUAAUAUUCCAUGAUCUUUCGUAUUCUUUAUUUUUUUAUACGCACCCUCGUAUUUUCAAAGAUUUCUAGAUCACGAUCACGCACAUAUGGUUAUUUAAACGUAUAAAAUAUACAUACUUUGACAUGUAUAUAUAUCAAAAUCAUAUGUUUAUUUUUUUAUAUAGAACUUCACAAAAAAAAAAAAAAAAGAGUUCCACGCCAAAUUUGUAUAUCCUCGAAAACGCUUGUUUUUGUCGAAACCGAAAUCGAACUGACGUUAAACAUGCGUUCGUACAUGAAACCAUCCAAAAACAUUUUUCUAGCUGAAUUCUAAUUUUGCCAAGUUGGUUAGAGCAUAUUACUUCUUCUUCUUUUUUUUUUUUUUUUUUUGAGAUAAACAUUUUUAUGAUUUUCCUUGAUGGCUGAGUGACAUACUUGCCAAAGUUGGACUUUUAUAUCCAAAGCAUGGUAAUAUCAAUACUCAUGACAUCCUAUACCAUAUUUUCUUUAUCUCAUGACCAUCCGAUCACAUCAUCAUCAUUACAUAUAUUCAUGCCAUACACAUUAAUUUUUAUUAUACAUUCCUUGAUAUAUUUGGUGGAUUUUGUCAAACCAACUCCUCCUGGACCCAUACCCAUCGACCAUACCCUAUUAAUUGUGCUUCAUCCUUAUCAUUUAAACACAAGACCAUUUCAUUCUAUUUUCCACUCUCCAAAACCAAAAACAAGAGCACACACACAAGCCACAAAUUGAAUUUCAAGAUUCAAGGUCAAGCUUCAAACCGUUCAUGCCUUGUUUGUUUUUGGCACGAGUAGAUCAUUUCAUGUAGACACGGACUUUGCUAUUUGCUAUUUGCUUUGCCACAUUUGUUUGCACAUCAGGUUGCAUUUUCAAAACUAUGGAACGGUUGGAAUAGGAGAACCCAUGGGAAUUCGAGUACUUAGCAGGCAUUCAUUGUUUAGAAGUCUUAGCUUAUUGCUUCCGCUGUGCAAUGAAGAUACCGGUCCAGUCACGCCAGCUCUGAUUUUUCGGGGUGUGACA
Molecule: long non-coding RNA, 1731 nt
Organism: Helianthus annuus (common sunflower)
Lineage: Eukaryota; Viridiplantae; Streptophyta; Magnoliopsida; Asterales; Asteraceae
Exons: 3
Source: RefSeq, a predicted model, not a curated record